RNAcentral lists this ribosomal RNA (567 nucleotides) under uncultured Bacteroidota bacterium. RNAcentral's name for it is "bacterial SSU rRNA". It matches the Rfam family "Bacterial small subunit ribosomal RNA", at positions 316 to 885 of the family's 1533-position model. The record is from RNAcentral. Lineage: Bacteria; Pseudomonadati; Bacteroidota.
GUACUGAGACACGGACCAGACUCCUACGGGAGGCAGCAGUGAGGAAUAUUGGUCAAUGGAGGCAACUCUGAACCAGCCAUGCCGCGUGAAGGAUGACGGCCCUAUGGGUUGUAAACUUCUUUUAUAGAGGAAGAAACUUGUCUACGUGUAGACAACUGACGGUACUCUACGAAUAAGGAUCGGCUAACUCCGUGCCAGCAGCCGCGGUAAUACGGAGGAUCCAAGCGUUAUCCGGAUUCAUUGGGUUUAAAGGGUCCGUAGGCGGGUCUUUAAGUCAGUGGUGAAAGCCGACAGCUCAACUGUCGAACUGCCAUUGAUACUGGAGACCUUGAGUACAAAUGAAGUAGGCGGAAUGAGUCAUGUAGCGGUGAAAUGCAUAGAUAUGACUCAGAACACCGAUUGCGAAGGCAGCUUACUAACAUGUAACUGACGCUGAGGGACGAAAGCGUGGGGAGCGAACAGGAUUAGAUACCCUGGUAGUCCACGCCGUAAACGAUCAUCACUCGCUGUUGGCGAUAUACUGUCAGCGGCCAAGCGAAAGUAUUAAGUAUGCACCUGGAGUCACAC